This 543-nucleotide unclassified non-coding RNA is filed under the name Hevea brasiliensis (rubber tree). Lineage: Eukaryota; Viridiplantae; Streptophyta; Magnoliopsida; Malpighiales; Euphorbiaceae. The record is from RNAcentral.
GUUUGAUGUCAUUCGUAUCCCAGAUCAAACACACAUCGCGAGGCAAAAUUAGGAUAAAGCCAAGACCUUAAUGGAAUCAAUCAGACAACAUAUGAAGUUUUUUGCAUUAAGACAUCAUGUGAUCUUCCUGUGGGUUUUCAAGCCCAAAAGUCAAAACUAUGGAUUACUAGUUUGUAUCUUGGCUAAAGAUUAAUUUAUCGUGAGGUGAAAAAUCACAGGUUCAAUAUGAGAAUAGAUAAGAUCGUUACACCUCUUUUGUUAAUGGGAAUGAACCACCGGUGAUUACAACUGAAGAUCACCUGUAAUAUCCCAUAUCCAGGUCCACGCUACAAAAGAAAACAAGUUUUCUACGACAUUCACAAUAAAGCUUAAUCCUCAGCAGCAGGAGGACAACACAACAUAAAUAACUAUGAAUCCUAAAGUUCAGUUAGUGACAUUUUAAAAUUGCCAUGCCUGCAGUUCAAGACAAUUUCAUGGAAACUAGAGACAGCUACUACAGUUACCCAGCUCUUGAACAACAGCUUCCAUAGAUGGUCUUUCAAU